Molecule: long non-coding RNA, 217 nt
Filed under: Mytilus galloprovincialis (Mediterranean mussel)
Lineage: Eukaryota; Metazoa; Mollusca; Bivalvia; Mytilida; Mytilidae
Source: RNAcentral
AACAAACUAAAACUGAGGGAAACGCAUAAUUAUAAGAGGAGAACAACGACACAACACUACAAUGUAACUAACACACACAGAAACGGACCAAGCAUCAGACAAAAUCCCACGAGAAUAACAAAUAUAACAUCAAAACCAAAUACAUGAAUUUGGGAUAGACAAGUACCGUGACACGUCUUAUCGCAAUGUCAAUUUACAAUCAAAAAUAAGAGAAAAC